GUCUAAGUCACCCUGUAAAAAUAUAGAAAAUGCUUAUUAAGAUCAUAGCAUAAGAUGGCACUUUAUUGUACAUUGAAGUCAUUAUUUAUCUAUCGUUUUCAAUAGCCAAACAGAAAAUGUAGACAGUUUCUUGUUUCUGUUUGGGUAGAAGGAAGAAUAAUAAAAGUUAUUAUCUCGUGUAUCAACAAUCAUUUUUGCUCAAGAAAAAUUUAAACAAUAAAUAUGAUUUCUUUCUCAAUGUUAUUUGGUUGAACACAUACCUAAUGUUUGCGAGUGUUCAAGUGCAAGUUCUCAU
This 295-nucleotide unclassified non-coding RNA is filed under the name Hevea brasiliensis (rubber tree). Lineage: Eukaryota; Viridiplantae; Streptophyta; Magnoliopsida; Malpighiales; Euphorbiaceae. The record is from RNAcentral.